UACGUAGGGUGCAAGCGUUGUCCGGAUUUAUUGGGCGUAAAGAGCGUGUAGGCGGCCUGGUAGGUCUGCUGUGAAAACUCGAGGCUUAACCUCGAGAUGUCGGCGGAAACCAUCUGGCUAGAGUCCGGAAGAGGAGAAUGGAAUUCCCGGUGUAGCGGUGAAAUGCGCAGAUAUCGGGAAGAACACCCGUGGCGAAGGCGGUUCGCUGGGACGGGACUGACGCUGAGACGCGAAAGCGUGGGGAGCGAACAGG
Molecule: ribosomal RNA, 253 nt
Filed under: uncultured bacterium
Lineage: Bacteria
Description: partial 16S ribosomal RNA
Rfam family: Bacterial small subunit ribosomal RNA
Source: RNAcentral